CCAGCACCCCGAGUGGUCGGGACGAUUAUUGGGCCUAAAGCAUCCGUAGCCGGCCUUACAAGUCCUCCGUUAAAUCCAGCUGCUUAACAGAUGGGCUGCGGAGGAUACUAUAAGACUAGGAGGCAGGAGAGGCAAGCGGUACUCAGUGGGUAGGGGUAAAAUCCGUUGAUCCAUUGAAGACCACCAGUGGCGAAGGCGGCUUGCCAGAAUGCGCUCGACGGUGAGGGAUGAAAGCUGGGGGAGCAAACCGGAUUAGAUACCCGGGUAGUCCCAGCUGUAAACGAUGCAGACUCGGUGAUGGACUAGCUUUAUGCUGGUCCAGUGCCGCAGGGAAGCCGUUAAGUCUGCCCGCCUGGGUAGUACGGUCGCAAGACUG
This 376-nucleotide ribosomal RNA is filed under the name uncultured organism. Its description in RNAcentral is "bacterial SSU rRNA". It matches the Rfam family "Archaeal small subunit ribosomal RNA", at positions 476 to 851 of the family's 1478-position model. The record is from RNAcentral.